AUGGGACUCACGCCAGCGCUGACCGCAUCUACCGCAUGCUAGGAAAAGACACACAUAAAAUAACUCAUCUUGAGACACAUCUUGGAAGUGCUUCAUUGACACGUCUGAAAAACCUGCUCUGAAAAUCAAUCUGCUCCAUCUGUCAGUAAUUUGAUCAGGUUUUGUGGCUCUUCUCAAACUAUUUAAAGAGACUCGCCAGGCGUCCUGGUGGGAAGAUUUUUGAGUCAGUCCUGCUCACGGCCAAAAACAACAACACCGACGACAGCCAGCUGGUCUCGCUUGACAGACAUGUCAACAUGACUGACACG
This is a long non-coding RNA of Labeo rohita (rohu), 308 nucleotides long. RefSeq lists it as uncharacterized. NCBI's taxonomy places the organism in Eukaryota, Metazoa, Chordata, Actinopteri, Cypriniformes, Cyprinidae. The transcript has 3 exons. The record is from RefSeq and is a predicted model, not a curated record.